CUUAGUGGCGGACGGGUGAGUAACGCGUGGGCAACCUGCCUUAGACAGGGGGAUAACACAGGGAAACCUGUGCUAAUACCGCAUAACGCAGAGAGAAGGCAUCUUUUUUCUGCCAAAGGAGCAAUCCGGUAUAAGAUGGGCCCGCGUACGAUUAGCUAGUUGGUGGGGUAAUGGCUCACCAAGGCGACGAUCGUUAGCCGAACUGAGAGGUUGAUCGGCCACAUUGGGACUGAGACACGGCCCAGACUCCUACGGGAGGCACCAGUGGGGAAUAUUGCGCAAUGGGGGAAACCCUGACGCAGCAACGCCGCGUGAAGGAUGAAGGUUUUCGGAUCGUAAACUUCUUUGAUGAGGGACGAAUAAUGACGGUACCUCAAAAGACAGCCACGGCUAACUACG
RNAcentral lists this ribosomal RNA (399 nucleotides) under uncultured Clostridium sp. Its description in RNAcentral is "bacterial SSU rRNA". It matches the Rfam family "Bacterial small subunit ribosomal RNA", at positions 91 to 505 of the family's 1533-position model. Lineage: Bacteria; Bacillati; Bacillota; Clostridia; Eubacteriales; Clostridiaceae. The record is from RNAcentral.